UACGUAGGGCGCAAGCGUUAUCCGGAAUUAUUGGGCGUAAAGAGCUCGUAGGCGGUUUGUCGCGUCUGCCGUGAAAGUCCGGGGCUCAACUCCGGAUCUGCGGUGGGUACGGGCAGACUAGAGUGAUGUAGGGGAGACUGGAAUUCCUGGUGUAGCGGUGAAAUGACGCAGAUAUCAGGAGGAACACCGAUGGCGAAGGCAGGUCUCUGGGCAUUAACUGACGCUGAGGAGCGAAAGCAUGGGGAGCGAACAGG
RNAcentral lists this ribosomal RNA (254 nucleotides) under uncultured bacterium. RNAcentral's name for it is "partial 16S ribosomal RNA". It matches the Rfam family "Bacterial small subunit ribosomal RNA", at positions 524 to 776 of the family's 1533-position model. The record is from RNAcentral.